Molecule: non-coding RNA, 181 nt
Organism: Aegilops tauschii subsp. strangulata
Lineage: Eukaryota; Viridiplantae; Streptophyta; Magnoliopsida; Poales; Poaceae
Source: RefSeq, a predicted model, not a curated record
CUUAGAGAAAAAGGGAGGCUGUGCUGGAGGAUGGAGACAUCUCUGUUGAUGAACCUAGGCAUGAAAAGGGAAGGAUCUCAAUCCGGCAUACGAUAAAGCUGAUUUCAGCUGAACGCGAGGAAGGAGAAGAAGAUGCUGAUCUGCAUGCUGCAAAUAAAAUUAUUCAUAGCAAGCAUUACAA